UACGUAGGGACCAAGCGUUGUUCGGAUUUACUGGGCGUAAAGGGCGCGUAGGCGGCAUGGUCAGUCACUUGUGAAAUCUCCGGGCUUAACUCGGAACGGUCAAGUGAUACUGCCGUGCUAGAGUGCAGAAGGGGCAAUCGGGAUUCUUGGUGUAGCGGUGAAAUGCGUAGAUAUCAAGAGGAACACCUGAGGUGAAGACGGGUUGCUGGGCUGACACUGACGCUGAGGCGCGAAAGCCAGGGGAGCAAACGGG
This 253-nucleotide ribosomal RNA is filed under the name uncultured bacterium. RNAcentral describes it as "partial 16S ribosomal RNA". It matches the Rfam family "Bacterial small subunit ribosomal RNA", at positions 524 to 776 of the family's 1533-position model. The record is from RNAcentral.